Molecule: ribosomal RNA, 1397 nt
Filed under: uncultured bacterium
Lineage: Bacteria
Description: bacterial SSU rRNA
Rfam family: Bacterial small subunit ribosomal RNA
Source: RNAcentral
GAUGAACGCUGGCGGCGUGCCUAAUACAUGCAAGUCGAACGAACUUCCGUUAAUUGAUUAUGACGUGCUUGCACUGAAUGAGAUUUUAACACGAAGUGAGUGGCGGACGGGUGAGUAACACGUGGGCAACCUGCCCAGAAGCAGGGGAUAACACCUGGAAACAGAUGCUAAUACCGUAUAACAGAGAAAACCGCCUGGUUUUUUUUUAAAAGAUGGCUCUGCUAUCACUUCUGGAUGGACCCGCGGCGCAUUAGCUAGUUGGUGAGGUAACGGCUCACCAAGGCGAUGAUGCGUAGCCGACCUGAGAGGGUAAUCGGCCACAUUGGGACUGAGACACGGCCCAGACUCCUACGGGAGGCAGCAGUAGGGAAUCUUCCACAAUGGACGCAAGUCUGAUGGAGCAACGCCGCGUGAGUGAAGAAGGGUUUCGGCUCGUAAAGCUCUGUUGUUAAAGAAGAACGUGGGUGAGAGUAACUGUUCACCCAGUGACGGUAUUUAACCAGAAAGCCACGGCUAACUACGUGCCAGCAGCCGCGGUAAUACGUAGGUGGCAAGCGUUAUCCGGAUUUAUUGGGCGUAAAGCGAGCGCAGGCGGUCUUUUAAGUCUAAUGUGAAAGCCUUCGGCUCAACUGAAGAAGUGCAUUGGAAACUGGGAGACUUGAGUGCAGAAGAGGACAGUGGAACUCCAUGUGUAGCGGUGAAAUGCGUAGAUAUAUGGAAGAACACCAGUGGCGAAGGCGGCUGUCUGGUCUGUAACUGACGCUGAGGCUCGAAAGCAUGGGUAGCGAACAGGAUUAGAUACCCUGGUAGUCCAUGCCGUAAACGAUGAUUACUAAGUGUUGGAGGGUUUCCGCCCUUCAGUGCUGCAGCUAACGCAUUAAGUAAUCCGCCUGGGGAGUACGACCGCAAGGUUGAAACUCAAAAGAAUUGACGGGGGCCCGCACAAGCGGUGGAGCAUGUGGUUUAAUUCGAAGCUACGCGAAGAACCUUACCAGGUCUUGACAUCUUCUGCCAACCUAAGAGAUUAGGUGUUCCCUUCGGGGACAGAAUGACAGGUGGUGCAUGGUUGUCGUCAGCUCGUGUCGUGAGAUGUUGGGUUAAGUCCCGCAACGAGCGCAACCCUUAUUACUAGUUGCCAGCAUUCAGUUGGGCACUCUAGUGAGACUGCCGGUGACAAACCGGAGGAAGGUGGGGACGACGUCAAAUCAUCAUGCCCCUUAUGACCUGGGCUACACACGUGCUACAAUGGAUGGUACAACGAGUCGCGAAACCGCGAGGUUUAGCUAAUCUCUUAAAACCAUUCUCAGUUCGGACUGUAGGCUGCAACUCGCCUACACGAAGUCGGAAUCGCUAGUAAUCGCGGAUCAGCAUGCCGCGGUGAAUACGUUCCCGGGCCU